UUCGCCCUUAGAGUUUGAUCCUGGCUCAGGACGAACGCUGGCGGCGCGCCUAACACAUGCAAGUCGAACGAGAGGGAGGGAGCUUGCUUCCUUGAUCGAGUGGCGAACGGGUGAGUAACGCGUGAGGAACCUGCCUCAAAGAGGGGGACAACAGUUGGAAACGACUGCUAAUACCGCAUAAGCCUACGGUGCCGCAUGGCACAGAGGGAAAAGGAGCAAUCCGCUUUGAGAUGGCCUCGCGUCCGAUUAGCUAGUUGGUGAGGUAACGGCCCACCAAGGCGACGAUCGGUAGCCGGACUGAGAGGUUGAACGGCCACAUUGGGACUGAGACACGGCCCAGACUCCUACGGGAGGCAGCAGUGGGGAAUAUUGCACAAUGGGGGAAACCCUGAUGCAGCGACGCCGCGUGGAGGAAGAAGGUCUUCGGAUUGUAAACUCCUGUUGUUGAGGAAGAUAAUGACGGUACUCAACAAGGAAGUGACGGCUAACUACGUGCCAGCAGCCGCGGUAAAACGUAGGUCACAAGCGUUGUCCGGAAUUACUGGGUGUAAAGGGAGCGCAGGCGGGCGAUCAAGUUGGAAGUGAAAUCCAUGGGCUCAACCCAUGAACUGCUUUCAAAACUGGUCGUCUUGAGUAGUGCAGAGGUAGGCGGAAUUCCCGGUGUAGCGGUGGAAUGCGUAGAUAUCGGGAGGAACACCAGUGGCGAAGGCGGCCUACUGGGCACCAACUGACGCUGAGGCUCGAAAGUGUGGGUAGCAAACAGGAUUAGAUACCCUGGUAGUCCACACCGUAAACGAUGAUUACUAGGUGUUGGGAGAAUUGACCCUCUCAGUGCCGCAGUUAACACAAUAAGUAAUCCACCUGGGGAGUACGACCGCAAGGUUGAAACUCAAAGGAAUUGACGGGGGCCCGCACAAGCAGUGGAGUAUGUGGUUUAAUUCGACGCAACGCGAAGAACCUUACCAAGUCUUGACAUCCCUUGACGAUGCUGGAAACAGUAUUUCUCUUCGGAGCAAGGAGACAGGUGGUGCAUGGUUGUCGUCAGCUCGUGUCGUGAGAUGUUGGGUUAAGUCCCGCAACGAGCGCAACCCUUAUGGUCAGUUACUACGCAAGAGGACUCUGGCCAGACUGCCGUUGACAAAACGGAGGAAGGUGGGGAUGACGUCAAAUCAUCAUGCCCUUUAUGACUUGGGCUACACACGUACUACAAUGGCGUUAAACAAAGAGAAGCAAGACCGCGAGGUGGAGCAAAGCUCAGAAACAACGUCCCAGUUCGGACUGCAGGCUGCAACUCGCCUGCACGAAGUCGGAAUUGCUAGUAAUCGUGGAUCAGCAUGCCACGGUGAAUACGUUCCCGGGCCUUGCACACACCGCCCGUCA
RNAcentral lists this ribosomal RNA (1380 nucleotides) under uncultured bacterium. RNAcentral describes it as "16S ribosomal RNA". It matches the Rfam family "Bacterial small subunit ribosomal RNA". The record is from RNAcentral.